Molecule: long non-coding RNA, 410 nt
Organism: Echinops telfairi (small Madagascar hedgehog)
Lineage: Eukaryota; Metazoa; Chordata; Mammalia; Afrosoricida; Tenrecidae
Exons: 2
Source: RefSeq, a predicted model, not a curated record
AGUUCCUCAAAUGUUAAAGACUAAUGUCUCAACCAGAAGAAAAGAUUUUAAAACAGAAGCCUGUACAAGAUUUUAAAAAAGAGCUUUAGACCGGUUUCAUCAUAAUCCUCCCUUCUCAAGAAUCUUCUUCCUGUUCUGCAAAUCUAUUUGCAAGGAGUCCAUGUUCUCCAACGUAUGAUUAUAUAAAACGAAGACUAGUUUAUGGCGGAGGCACACAAGACCAGAGCUCUGGUUCAAUGACCUUUUCACUAUGGAACCCAACAAACAAACGUGCCUUUGAAAAACAAGUGUCUAAAAAAUAUUCACUUAAUGAAUAUUCACUUUUUCAUUCAAACAGGUAAAUGACAAUGUACAAGGAUGACAAGGUAUCAAGGUGUACAAUGCAUAGAAAUAAAGAUAUGUGUCUGAAA